Bubalus bubalis (water buffalo) is the source of this 1770-nucleotide long non-coding RNA. RefSeq lists it as uncharacterized. Lineage: Eukaryota; Metazoa; Chordata; Mammalia; Artiodactyla; Bovidae. The record is from RefSeq and is a predicted model, not a curated record. The transcript is spliced from 4 exons.
GGAAAUGGCAACCCACUGCAGUAUUCUUGCCUGGAGAAUUCCAUGGACAGAGGAGCCUGGCAGGCUGCAGUCCAUGGGGUCACAAAGAGUCAGACACAAGGGAAUUACAGAUCCUCUUGUUGUCUUCCCUGCGACUUCCCUGGUGGUUCAGAUGGUAAACGCAUCUGCCUACAAUUCGGGAGACCUGGGCUCAGUCCCUGGGUCGGAAAGAUCCCCUGGAGAAGGAAAUGGCAACCCACUCCAGUAUUCUUGCCUGGAGAAUCCCAUAGACAGAGAAACCUGGUUGGCUACAAUCCAUGAGGUCACAAAGAGUUGGAUACGACUGAGUGACUUCACUUUCUGUCUUCCUUGUAUCUUUAGAAAUUCUCUCCUCUUGAAUGUUCUUCAUCUAUUCAAAGGCCUAAUUUUCAAGAAUUAGUGCCCUCCCCAAUUUUAUUACAAAUCUUUCUUUGCUCUUUAUGAUCUAAUAUUUUUCCCAUCUUAGUUCCUAUGGAACAUAUUAUAUGUACCAUUAAUUUAGCAAUUAAGCAUUUCUUGUCAUAUCUUCUACUUCUGCCUCAUUUUGAAAACUCUCUUGCUUUUUCCUUCUUUCUGUAACCUGCAGAAUAUAGUGAAAUACCUUGCACACAGAAUAAAUAUUUAUUGAUAUUGAUAUUGAGUUUCUUUAAAUCAGCUUGGUCAAGCCAUUCAUUUAAUAACAGCCUAACCCAAGUCACAAGGAGAUUAAGUAAAUUGCUUAUGGUUGCAAAAGUCUUAGAAAAGUUGAUCAAAAUUCAUAUUUCCUAAAUUUUGAUCUGGUAUCUGCUGGUGUGUCGUGCUGCUUCUAUAUUUGGAAAACAAUUAUCAAUAACCUAGAGCUUUAUCUUCGCUUCAUAUUUCCAAAGAAUAUGAAUAUAAUAAUAUAAAUCCAAAUAAUAAACCUUAGAUGAAAACAGUAAUGUUUGAACUUAGCAUGGAAAUCUGCUGAAAUCUAGAAAUGCCUUUGUCUCAUAUGACUACCCUAAACAUUUUGCUUAUUAUUUUUCUAGGAAUAUUUUAAUAACCAUUCAUAAUGCUGAGCAACUAGUCACACAGCAUUCUCCUCCAUUAUGGUAAAGUUCCUAAAAGAAGAGGCCCCAUCUGCUUCAUCCAUGAGCAUAUGGGAGUCUAGUGCCUAAUAUAAAGUCUCUGUAUUAGAAGACUUGCAGUCUACUAAGUAUGAUGAAUACGAAGAUGAAAAGGCAUGGACUCCUAAGGUACCUACAGUGAACUUCCAGGAGAGUCAGACAUAUUGAUAGUUAUUCACAAUGCAAUGCAGUAUGUGCCACCACAGAAUCAUGCGCAAGCAUGACUGACUGAACAUGAUCUGCAACUCUUCCUGAAUCUCCAGCCUGCCAAGCCUCCCCCAUUGAAUUUUGGACUAACUAAAUCUUCACAGUUGUGUGAGCCAAAUCCUCAAGAAGCUACAACUCAAGCAGAAAGGGAUUUAUUUUGGAGAGUCUAUCUUAAUUAGAGAGUAUUUGCUGGAUCUUUAACAGUCAACAUUGGAGAGAAAGAGAGGCAAUCAUUUCCAAAUUUUUCUACAUUACCUACUAUAACCAUGCUUCCUGCCAAAACACAUGAUGUCUGUGUUGUGUGAAAUGGUAAGUUGAAUUUAUGGCUUAUAACAGAGUUGAGAACUAAAUUUAUGCAAUUUCAGCAAAACAAAACAUCAUUUAGAACAUUAUAUGUUAAAAAUAAAUAGUUUCCUACUUUUUUUUAUUCAACCCUCAAUUCCUUUCCUAAGGCAUA